CCUAAAAGCUUAUAUAAAAUUUAAAUUAAUUAAAAAUUAAAUUUAAAUUAAUUAAAAGUUAAAAUUUGUACUAUAGUACAAGAAAGUGUCCAUUUCAGUAUACCUUUGCCAGCAUGAGGUAUUAUAAUGAAAUAGGUUAUUUUUAGUUUGACUAUUUUGUAGAGAUAAAAGACCUCACUAUUAUUUUUACUUGUUUGUCAAAAUUCACUAUUUUUCCUUAUGUUAAUUAGAUCAAUUUUUUCUAAAUUAUCUGUCCAUGUUUUCCCCGCAUCUAUUUAUAGAUUUAAUGUAUCAGUUUGAAGAUCUAUUUAUUUAAUAUUUUUUUAAAUUAUAAAAAUAGUAAAUGCUUACUUUUAAAUGAAGAUGUGAAAAUUUUCUCUCCACUCCUUAGCUCCAUGCCCUUAUUUUAAGAAAUAAUUACUGUUAACAAUUUGGAGCAUAUUCUUCCAGAUACACACUCACAAAGCAGAUCUCACUUCAUAUUUUCACCCCUUAAUAUAUCAUGGACAUCUAUGCUAAUACCUACUGAUCUACUUUAAUCUUUUUCAUGGUCAUAUAGUGUUUCAUAAUAUGGAUGUUUCACAAUUUAUUAACCAGGCCCUGUGGACAUUUAGGCUCUUUUGAAAUUUGCUAUUACAUAAUUAAAAAGUAAACCUUUAUCCCAUUUCCUGGCAACAUUUUCCUCCCUAAGUUUUCCCCAGAAACUUUUGAAUUUUGGUAACUUUUCUCAUGCCAGUAAAAACUUUUAAGUACUUAUCUGUCUGUGUACUCCCUCUUUUUAUUCAGGAUGUCUUUUAUCCCUUCCAAGCGGCUGUAACCUGGGCUUCACAGUUGAGGAAGAAAGAUUGACAAGGCAACAUGCCAUUCAUGGGAGUAACUCAAGAAUGAUCAAAUAAUAGUGCAUAAAUCAAAUGCUAUUGGAAACUGCCUGGGAGAGUGAGAUAAAGCCCCACAGAUAAGACGACAUUUAUGCUGGAUCUUGAAAGGGGAAGAUAGUGCCAUCUUAUGGAGAGGCGCAAGUGGUCAGGAACUGAUGGAUCCAGCCAACAGCCAGAGAGGACCGUAGGCCUGCCUGCCAACCCGAGUGAUUGAGCUUGAAGGAGAAUUUUCCAGCCUUGAGAUGCCUGCAGUCCUGCCAACACCUUGGCUGCAGCCUUGUGAGAGACCCUGAGCCAGAGGACUCAGCUAAACGGCACCCAGAUUCCUAAUCCACAGAAACUGAGAAAAUAAGGGGUUUUUUUUUUGUUGUAAGCUGCUUAGUUUGGGGUAAUUUGUUACCCAACAAUAGAUUAAUACAAGGACAUUGAUUCCUCAAAAUCA
Equus caballus (horse) is the source of this 1320-nucleotide long non-coding RNA. RefSeq lists it as uncharacterized. NCBI's taxonomy places the organism in Eukaryota, Metazoa, Chordata, Mammalia, Perissodactyla, Equidae. The record is from RefSeq and is a predicted model, not a curated record.